CCUUACUGGCCUUGACAUACUAAGAACUUUCCAGAGAUGGAUUGGUGCCUUCGGGAACUUAGAUACAGGUGCUGCAUGGCUGUCGUCAGCUCGUGUCGUGAGAUUGUUGGGUUAAGUCCCGCAACGAGCGCAACCCUUUUCCUUAUUUGCCAGCGGGUUAAGCCGGGAACUUUAAGGAUACUGCCAGUGACAAACUGGAGGAAGGCGGGGACGACGUCAAGUCAUCAUGGCCCUUACGGCCAGGGCUACACACGUGCUACAAUGGUCGGUACAAAGGGUUGCUACCUCGCGAGAGGAUGCUAAUCUCAAAAAGCCGAUCGUAGUCCGGAUCGCAGUCUGCAACUCGACUGCGUGAAGUCGGAAUCGCUAGUAAUCGCGGAUCAGAAUGCCGCGGUGAAUACGUUCCCGGGCCUUGUACACACCGCCCGUCACACCAUGGGAGUUUGUUGCACCAGAAGUAGGUAGUCUAACCGCAAGGAGGACGCUUACCACGGUGUGGCCGAUGACUGGGGUGAAGUCGUAACAAGGUAAGCGUAGAUGA
Molecule: ribosomal RNA, 541 nt
Filed under: uncultured bacterium
Lineage: Bacteria
Description: bacterial SSU rRNA
Rfam family: Bacterial small subunit ribosomal RNA
Source: RNAcentral